CCUACGGGAGGCAGCAGUGGGGAAUCUUGCGCAAUGGGCGAAAGCCUGACGCAGCCAUGCCGCGUGAAUGAUGAAGGUCUUAGGAUUGUAAAAUUCUUUCACCGGGGACGAUAAUGACGGUACCCGGAGAAGAAGCCCCGGCUAACUUCGUGCCAGCAGCCGCGGUAAUACGAAGGGGGGCUAGCGUUGCUCGGAAUUACUGGGCGUAAAGGGAGCGUAGGCGGAUAGUUUAGUCAGAGGUGAAAGCCCAGGGCUCAACCUUGGAAUUGCCUUUGAUACUGGCUAUCUUGAGUAUGGGAGAGGUUAGCGGAACUCCGAGUGUAGAGGUGAAAUUCGUAGAUAUUCGGAAGAACACCAGUGGCGAAGGCGGCUAACUGGCCCAUUACUGACGCUGAGGCUCGAAAGCGUGGGGAGCAAACAGGAUUAGAUACCCUGGUAGUCCACGCCGUAAACGAUGAGUGCUAGUUGCCGGCAUGCAUGCAUGUCGGUGACGCGAGCUACGACAUAAGACACCUCCGCCGUCGGGAGGUACGGUCGCGAGAAGUUAAACGUAACGUAAAGUAAGUUAGAGUCGUUGAGACGNGCCGACGGACGACGACGAGGGAGGAGG
RNAcentral lists this ribosomal RNA (610 nucleotides) under uncultured bacterium. RNAcentral describes it as "bacterial SSU rRNA". The stretch from base 1 to 520 matches the Rfam family "Bacterial small subunit ribosomal RNA", at positions 338 to 873 of the family's 1533-position model. The record is from RNAcentral.